GACGUAGGAUGCAAGCGUUGUCCGGAUUUAUUGGGCGUAAAGAGUUCGUAGGUGGUUCACUAAGUCUGAUGUUAAAGAUCAGGGCCCAACCCUGGGAGUGCAUUGGAUACUGGUGGACUGGAGUGCAGUAGAGGCAAGCGGAAUUCCCAGUGUAGCGGUGAAAUGCGUAGAUAUUGGGAAGAACACCGGUGGCGCAAGCGGCUUGCUGGGCUGUAACUGACGCUGAGGAACGAAAGCUAGGGGAGCGAAUGGG
Molecule: ribosomal RNA, 253 nt
Filed under: uncultured prokaryote
Description: partial 16S ribosomal RNA
Rfam family: Bacterial small subunit ribosomal RNA
Source: RNAcentral